Molecule: non-coding RNA, 80 nt
Organism: Lytechinus variegatus (green sea urchin)
Lineage: Eukaryota; Metazoa; Echinodermata; Echinoidea; Temnopleuroida; Toxopneustidae
Source: Rfam
UUAUCCGUUGAUUGUCCGAACGCAAUUCUUGUUGACUUUUCAUUCACAAUCAAGAACUGUGUACGGACAUCAGUGGUUGA